RNAcentral lists this ribosomal RNA (139 nucleotides) under uncultured bacterium. RNAcentral describes it as "partial 16S ribosomal RNA". It matches the Rfam family "Bacterial small subunit ribosomal RNA", at positions 355 to 509 of the family's 1533-position model. The record is from RNAcentral.
UGGGGGAUAUUGCACAAUGGGCGAAAGCCUGAUGCAGCGACGCCGCGUGAGGGAAGACGGUUUUCGGAUUGUAAACCUCUGUCGAGGGGACGAAGUGCGUGACGGUACCCCUUGAGGAAGCCACGGCUAACUACGUGCC